GAUGAACGCUAGCGGGAGGCCUAACACAUGCAAGCCGAGUGGUAUUUGUUCUUCGGAACAGAGAGAGCGGCGCACGGGUGCGGAACACGUGUGCAACCUGCCUUUAUCUGGGGGAUAGCCUUUCGAAAGGAAGAUUAAUACCCCAUAAUAUAUUGAGUGGCAUCAUUUGAUAUUGAAAACUCCGGUGGAUAGAGAUGGGCACGCGCAAGAUUAGAUAGUUGGUGAGGUAACGGCUCACCAAGUCAAUGAUCUUUAGGGGGCCUGAGAGGGUGAUCCCCCACACUGGUACUGAGACACGGACCAGACUCCUACGGGAGGCAGCAGUGAGGAAUAUUGGACAAUGGGUUAGCGCCUGAUCCAGCCAUCCCGCGUGAAGGACGACGGCCCUAUGGGUUGUAAACUUCUUUUGUAUAGGGAUAAACCUACUCUCGUGAGAGUAGCUGAAGGUACUAUACGAAUAAGCACCGGCUAACUCCGU
Molecule: ribosomal RNA, 478 nt
Filed under: uncultured bacterium
Lineage: Bacteria
Description: partial 16S ribosomal RNA
Rfam family: Bacterial small subunit ribosomal RNA
Source: RNAcentral